GCUAACGCAUUAAGUAGACCGCCUGGGGAGUACGGCCGCAAGGUUAAAACUCAAAUGAAUUGACGGGGGCCCGCACAAGCGGUGGAGCAUGUGGUUUAAUUCGAUGCAACGCGAAGAACCUUACCUACACUUGACAUACAGAGAACUUACUAGAGAUAGUUUGGUGCCUUCGGGAACUCUGAUACAGGUGCUGCAUGGCUGUCGUCAGCUCGUGUUGUGAGAUGUUGGGUUAAGUCCCGCAACGAGCGCAACCCCUAUCCUUAGUUGCUAGCAGGUAAUGCUGAGAACUCUAAGGAGACUGCCGGUGAUAAACCGGAGGAGGGUGGGGACGACGUCAAGUCAUCAUGGCCCUUACGUGUAGGGCUACACACGUGCUACAAUGGCGCAUACAGAGUGCUGCGAACUCGCGAGAGUAAGCGAAUCACUUAAAGUGCGUCGUAGUCCGGAUUGGAGUCUGCAACUCGACUCCAUGAAGUCGGAAUCGCUAGUAAUCGCGUAUCAGAAUGACGCGGUGAAUACGUUCCCGGGCCUUGUACACACCGCCCGUCACACCAUGGGAGUGGGUUGCUCCAGAAGUAGAUAGUCUAACCCUCGGGAGGACGUUUACCACGGAGUGAUUCAUGACUGGGGUGAAGUCGUAACAAGGUACC
Molecule: ribosomal RNA, 650 nt
Filed under: uncultured bacterium
Lineage: Bacteria
Description: bacterial SSU rRNA
Rfam family: Bacterial small subunit ribosomal RNA
Source: RNAcentral